RNAcentral lists this microRNA precursor (99 nucleotides) under Marmota monax (woodchuck). The record is from RNAcentral. Lineage: Eukaryota; Metazoa; Chordata; Mammalia; Rodentia; Sciuridae.
AGUGGGAUAGCGGGUCAAAUGGUUCCAUUCCAAAUUUUCUGAGGAUUCUCCAUACUGCUUUCCAAAGUGGUUGUACCAAUUUGCAGUCCCACCAGCAAU